RNAcentral lists this non-coding RNA (28 nucleotides) under Cricetulus griseus (Chinese hamster). The record is from RNAcentral. Lineage: Eukaryota; Metazoa; Chordata; Mammalia; Rodentia; Cricetidae.
CAUUCUGAAUCAUGAGAAAGCCCAGAGA